AGUGAACGCUAGCGGUAGGCCUAACACAUGCAAGUCGAACGGCAGCACAGAGGGGCUCGCUCCUUGGGUGGCGAGUGGCGGACGGGUGAGGAAUACAUCGGAAUCUACUCUGUCGUGGGGGAUAACGUAGGGAAACUUACGCUAUUACCGCAUACGACCUACGGGUGAAAGCAGGGGAUCUUCGGACCUUGCGCGAUUGAAUGAGCCGAUGUCGGAUUAGCUAGUUGGCGGGGUAAAGGCCCACCAAGGCGACGAUCCGUAGCUGGUCUGAGAGGAUGAUCAGCCACACUGGAACUGAGACACGGUCCAGACUCCUACGGGAGGCAGCAGUGGGGAAUAUUGGACAAUGGGCGCAAGCCUGAUCCAGCCAUACCGCGUGGGUGAAGAAGGCCUUCGGGUUGUAAAGCCCUUUUGUUGGGAAAGAAAUCCAUCUGGUUAAUACCCGGGUGGGAUGACGGUACCCAAAGAAUAAGCACCGGCUAACUUCGUGCCAGCAGCCGCCGUAA
This 506-nucleotide ribosomal RNA is filed under the name uncultured bacterium. RNAcentral describes it as "partial 16S ribosomal RNA". It matches the Rfam family "Bacterial small subunit ribosomal RNA", at positions 29 to 523 of the family's 1533-position model. The record is from RNAcentral.